This 411-nucleotide ribosomal RNA is filed under the name uncultured bacterium. RNAcentral describes it as "bacterial SSU rRNA". It matches the Rfam family "Bacterial small subunit ribosomal RNA", at positions 354 to 777 of the family's 1533-position model. The record is from RNAcentral.
GUGGGGAAUAUUGGACAAUGGGCGGAAGCCUGAUCCAGCAACGCCGCGUGAGGGAUGACGGCCUUCGGGUUGUAAACCUCUUUCAGCACCGACGAAGCGCAAGUGACGGUAGGUGCAGAAGAAGGACCGGCCAACUACGUGCCAGCAGCCGCGGUAAUACGUAGGGUCCGAGCGUUGUCCGGAAUUAUUGGGCGUAAAGGGCUCGUAGGCGGUUUGUCGCGUCGGGAGUGAAAACACCGGGCUUAACUCGGUGCUUGCUUUCGAUACGGGCAGACUGGAGGUAUGCAGGGGAGAACGGAAUUCCUGGUGUAGCGGUGAAAUGCGCAGAUAUCAGGAGGAACACCGGUGGCGAAGGCGGUUCUCUGGGCAUUACCUGACGCUGAGGAGCGAAAGUGUGGGGAGCGAACAGGA